AGAGAGGUGGCUCAGUGGUUAAGAGCACUGGCUGAUAUUCCAGAGGACCCCGGGUUCAAUUCCCAGGUUGUCUG
This 74-nucleotide transfer RNA is filed under the name Neotoma lepida (desert woodrat). It matches the Rfam family "tRNA". Rfam says of the family: Transfer RNA (tRNA) molecules are approximately 80 nucleotides in length. Their secondary structure includes four short double-helical elements and three loops (D, anti-codon, and T loops). Lineage: Eukaryota; Metazoa; Chordata; Mammalia; Rodentia; Cricetidae. The record is from Rfam by way of RNAcentral.